Molecule: ribosomal RNA, 254 nt
Filed under: uncultured bacterium
Lineage: Bacteria
Description: partial 16S ribosomal RNA
Rfam family: Bacterial small subunit ribosomal RNA
Source: RNAcentral
GACGAACCGUGCGAACGUUAUUCGGAAUCACUGGGCUUAAAGCGCGUGUAGGCGGGUGGGCACGUCGGCCGCUGAAAUCCCCCGGCUCAACCGGGGAAGGGGCGCCGAUACGGCCGGCCUGGAGGGACGUAGGGGGGGCUGGAACUUCCGGUGGAGCGGUGAAAUGCGUUGAGAUCGGAAAGAACACCAACGGCGAAAGCACUCUGCUGGGCCGACACUGACACUGAGAGACGAAAGCUAGGGGAGCGAAUGGG